CCUACGGGAGGCAGCAGUGAGGAAUAUUGGUCAAUGGGAGCGAUCCUGAACCAGCCAAGCAGCGUGAAGGAAGACGGCCCUAUGGGUUGUAAACCUCUUUUGUCGGGGAACAAAACCCGGGACGAGUCCCGUACUGCGUGUAUCCGAUGAAAAAGCAUCGGCUAACUCCGUGCCAGCAGCCGCGGUAAUACGGAGGAUCCGAGCGUUAUCCGGAUUUAUUGGGUUUAAAGGGUGCGUAGGCGGGUCGUUAAGUCAGGGGGGAAAUUUCGGGGCUCAACCCUAGAGGUGCAGUUGAAACUGGCAGACUUGAGUAGGGGAGAGGUAGGCGGAAUGCGCGGUGUAGCGGUGAAAUGCAUAGAUAUCGCGAAGAACUCCGAUUGCGAAGGCAGCGUACCGGAGCGAGACUGACGCUGAGGCGCGAAAGUGUGGGGAUCAAACAGGAUUAGAUACCCUAGUAGUC
This 460-nucleotide ribosomal RNA is filed under the name uncultured bacterium. RNAcentral describes it as "partial 16S ribosomal RNA". It matches the Rfam family "Bacterial small subunit ribosomal RNA", at positions 338 to 795 of the family's 1533-position model. The record is from RNAcentral.